Molecule: ribosomal RNA, 277 nt
Filed under: uncultured prokaryote
Description: partial 16S ribosomal RNA
Rfam family: Bacterial small subunit ribosomal RNA
Source: RNAcentral
UACGUAGGGGGCUAGCGUUAUCCGGAAUUACUGGGCGUAAAGGGUGCGUAGGUGGUUUCUUAAGUCAGAGGUGAAAGGCUACGGCUCAACCGUAGUAAGCCUUUGAAACUGGGAAACUUGAGUGCAGGAGAGGAGAGUGGAAUUCCUAGUGUAGCGGUGAAAUGCGUAGAUAUUAGGAGGAACACCAGUUGCGAAGGCGGCUCUCUGGACUGUAACUGACGCUGAGUCACGAAAGCGUGGGUAGCAAACAGGAUUAGAUACCCUGGUAGUCCCUGAG